Molecule: long non-coding RNA, 366 nt
Filed under: Homalodisca vitripennis (glassy-winged sharpshooter)
Lineage: Eukaryota; Metazoa; Arthropoda; Insecta; Hemiptera; Cicadellidae
Description: uncharacterized LOC124374585
Source: RNAcentral
GAUUGUCGUCACGUCCCGUUAUAACCCUAAACAACAUGGAUGUAACAAAGCGUAAUGGCUGUGGUUCUUUACACAAAUAUUAAAGUUUAUUUUUGGACAUAAAGUGACUGUGAGUGUAAUAGAGUUUAAUAAAGUACUAAUUUUAGUGAAUAAUAUCAAACUUGUUCAUUAGUGUAGUACUUGAGGAAUAUUUUUGAAGUGAAAUAGUGUGUAUUAGUAAUAGUGACAUUUCUCUAAAUAGAGCUUUCCUUUUUUCAAUUUGUUGCGAUAGUAAAGAAAGAUGGUAUAAACUUUAUCCGCACGACUGCAAUUUUUCUACAUGCAUUAAGUUGCAAAAUAUUAAUUUAGUUUGAAGAGGAAAGAAAA